This 231-nucleotide ribosomal RNA is filed under the name uncultured Eubacteriales bacterium. RNAcentral's name for it is "uncultured Clostridiales bacterium partial 16S ribosomal RNA". It matches the Rfam family "Bacterial small subunit ribosomal RNA", at positions 103 to 334 of the family's 1533-position model. The record is from RNAcentral. Lineage: Bacteria; Bacillati; Bacillota; Clostridia; Eubacteriales.
CGGGUGAGUAACGCGUGAGCAACCUGCCUAUGACAGUGGGAUAGCCUCGGGAAACCGGGAUUAAUACCGCAUAAAAUCGUAGAAACACAUGUUUUAACGGUCAAAGAUUUAUCGGUCAUAGAUGGGCUCGCGUCUGAUUAGCUAGUUGGUGAGAUAACAGCCCACCAAGGCGACUAUCAGUAGCCGGUCUGAGAGGAUGAACGGCCACAUUGGAACUGAGACACGGUCCAA